Molecule: ribosomal RNA, 253 nt
Filed under: uncultured bacterium
Lineage: Bacteria
Description: partial 16S ribosomal RNA
Rfam family: Bacterial small subunit ribosomal RNA
Source: RNAcentral
UACAGAGGUCCCAAGCGUUGUUCGGAUUCACUGGGCGUAAAGGGUGUGUAGGUGGCGAGUUAAGUUUGAUGUGAAAUCUCCGGGCUCAACUCGGAAAUGGCAUUGAAUACUAUCUUGCUAGAGGAGUGGAGGGGGGACUGGAAUACUUGGUGUAGCAGUGAAAUGCGUAGAUAUCAGGAAGAACACCCGUGGCGAAGGCGGCUCUCUGGGACGGUACUGACGCUGAGACGCGAAAGCGUGGGGAGCGAACAGG